Molecule: long non-coding RNA, 543 nt
Organism: Drosophila nasuta
Lineage: Eukaryota; Metazoa; Arthropoda; Insecta; Diptera; Drosophilidae
Exons: 2
Source: RefSeq, a predicted model, not a curated record
AAAGAAAGAGAAAAAUUCUAGCAUACUUUUUUGUGGGUUUACGUCAUGUUUGUCGAGGCUUAGAGACGUUUGUCAGCCAGUUGUGUAGUUCUACGUCUAUAUAUGUAGAUACUCACAUACCGUACAUAUACACAUACACAUAUAUUAUGUUCAAUUUUGUGCCUAUGCCUGUGUAUGUGUCUGUGUCUAUAUCUGUGCCUGUAGUUGUGUGUUUGUCUUGGCGCUAGUUUAGUUCUCGUGAAACUUCAGCGAUUCUCAAAUUUCCAAAGCAUGCCUACAACAACAACAACAAAUACAACUUGAUGUUUAUAUAGAUGAGACUUAAAAAAAAUACAUAACUGUACAAAAUAACUGUGCUGUGCUCGCCUUGAGUUAACUGUCUUGUCGAAUGCAAGCUCAACAAGCUGCACUUUGCCUCAUUCCCCUAACUCGCUGAGCUGUUUGUUCAACUUUACCUUCAAGCUAAGACAAAACAAAUUUGCAAUUCGUAGUAAAAAGCGAAAACAUAACCCAAAAAAAAAAAUAACGAAACAUAACUGUAAA